AUUGAACGCUGGCGGCAGGCCUAACACAUGCAAGUCGAACGGUAACAGGAAGAAGCUUGCUUCUUUGCUGACGAGUGGCGGACGGGUGAGUAAUGUCUGGGAAACUGCCUGAUGGAGGGGGAUAACUACUGGAAACGGUAGCCAAUACCGCAUAACGUCGCAAGACCAAAGAGGGGGAACUUCGGGCCUCUUGCCAUCGGAUGUGCCCAGAUGGGAUUAGCUAGUAGGUGGGGUAACGGCUCACCUAGGCGACGGUCCCUAGCUGGUCUGAGAGGAUGGCCAGCGACACUGGAACUGAGACACGGUCCAGGCUCCUACGGGAGGCAGCAGUGGGGAAUAUUGCACAAUGGGCGCAAGCCUGAUGCAGCCAGGCCGCGUGUAUGAAGAAGGCUUUCGGGUUGUAAAGUACUUUCAGCGGGGAGGAAGGGAGUAAAGUUAAUACCUUGUCUCAUUGACGUUACCCGCAGAAGAAGCACCGGCUAACUCCGUG
This 490-nucleotide ribosomal RNA is filed under the name uncultured bacterium. Its description in RNAcentral is "partial 16S ribosomal RNA". It matches the Rfam family "Bacterial small subunit ribosomal RNA", at positions 30 to 507 of the family's 1533-position model. The record is from RNAcentral.